This 496-nucleotide ribosomal RNA is filed under the name uncultured bacterium. RNAcentral's name for it is "partial 16S ribosomal RNA". It matches the Rfam family "Bacterial small subunit ribosomal RNA", at positions 28 to 506 of the family's 1533-position model. The record is from RNAcentral.
GAUGAGCGCUGGCGGCGUGCCUAAUACAUGCAAGUCGAGCGAACGGACGAGAAGCUUGCUUCUCUGAUGUUAGCGGCGGACGGGUGAGUAACACGUGGAUAACCUACCUAUAAGACUGGGAUAACUUCGGGAAACCGGAGCUAAUACCGGAUAAUAUUUUGAACCGCAUGGUUCAAAAGUGAAAGACGGUCUUGCUGUCACUUAUAGAUGGAUCCGCGCUGCAUUAGCUAGUUGGUAAGGUAACGGCUUACCAAGGCAACGAUGCAUAGCCGACCUGAGAGGGUGAUCGGCCACACUGGAACUGAGACACGGUCCAGACUCCUACGGGAGGCAGCAGUAGGGAAUCUUCCGCAAUGGGCGAAAGCCUGACGGAGCAACGCCGCGUGAGUGAUGAAGGUCUUCGGAUCGUAAAACUCUGUUAUUAGGGAAGAACAUAUGUGUAAGUAACUGUGCACAUCUUGACGGUACCGAAGCAGAAAGCCACGGCUAACUACGU